CGAACGGGUGCGUAACACGUGAACAACCUGCCCUCGUGUGGGGGGAUAGCCAUGCUAACGCGUGGGUAAUACCGCAUACGUUCUUCAGGGGGAGUCCCCUGGGGAAGAAAGCUCUGGCGCACGGGGAGGGGUUCGCGGCCUAUCAGCUAGUUGGUGCGGUAACGGCGCACCAAGGCGACGACGGGUAGCUGGUCUGAGAGGAUGGCCAGCCACAUUGGGACUGAGAUACGGCCCAG
RNAcentral lists this ribosomal RNA (236 nucleotides) under uncultured bacterium. RNAcentral's name for it is "partial 16S ribosomal RNA". It matches the Rfam family "Bacterial small subunit ribosomal RNA", at positions 99 to 334 of the family's 1533-position model. The record is from RNAcentral.